GAAAAAUGGAAGUGGAAGAAGAGGAGGAGCCAAGCCACAAUAUUUAGGUCCACAGAAAACGACACGCCGAUGUAUUUGAAGUCAAGGACGGAGAUUAAAACGGCCUUGAAAAACACCACACCCGUUUUGUCCACCACCAUCACCACCUUCUCCCAGAUCAAGGACAAGGCCAUGAGGGAGGCGGUGGAGGUGUGGGGGGUCCAGCACGCCAUCACAGACAACCUGCAGUUCAUGCUUGGGAUGGGACACACUGGGACAGCCUUGGACCGUUGGUGGGAGCAAGACAAGGCUGUGGGCUGUGGCAAUUUUGUCACUCAGACCUGUUGCCAUGUUACUAUUAUUGCACAUCCUAAGAAAGUGUGUGUAUGUGUGCAUAUGUGUGUUUACCUAGUAGUAUUGUACACGGUUCGAGCGGGCCUCGUAGCGUCCUGUCUCCAUGUCUCCACUUUUUUCCUUAAAGUUAUGCACAUUAUGUGGUGUAACAACUUCACCGCUCAAUGCAUUCCACUUUUUCACCGUUCUAU
Portunus trituberculatus (swimming crab) is the source of this 524-nucleotide long non-coding RNA. RefSeq lists it as uncharacterized. The record is from RefSeq and is a predicted model, not a curated record. The transcript has 3 exons. NCBI's taxonomy places the organism in Eukaryota, Metazoa, Arthropoda, Malacostraca, Decapoda, Portunidae.